AUAUGUGGAUAUACAUAAUAUAACACAGUUUAUACAAAUAAUAUUUUAUGUAGAUUUUAAGAUAUUUAUCUAAAAACAACAUUUCUUAGAAAACUAUAUUUUCUCAUUAUAUGAUUUUUGAAUAUUCCAAUGACAUAUUUUUCUGAUGUUCUUGUUUUAUUUUGCUGUUAAUGUGUUCAGGAUUUUUCAUAUGUUAAGAUUGUAUAAUACCACAUUGCCUGAUCUGCUAUGGUCUCCUUACCACUUGUUCUGUUAAUUGGCAUCUAGACUUGGUUCAGUUUUUCACUCAGUCAGUGUGCAAUGCAAGGGACACCUUUGGAAAUAUUUCCUGUAACAUUUUAAAAUCUAAAGUAGAGGAUGUACAAUGUGAGAUUCAUCAUUUAUUUUUAUCUUAUAUGAAAUAGAUUAGCUUAAUGGGCUGCUCUGUGUCUGGCAAGAUUAAACCUAAAAACGAGGAAAGAGGGGAGGAAGUCAGAAGAAGAGGCUAUUCAUUCCCACCUUUUUCAGUUCAAUAGUACCAGUAUCUAUCUAGGAAACCCCAGCAUGUCCCAAUUUUUUCAAUAGCUUUCCUCCUUUACUUUCUGUUUCAGAAAAUGCCUUAGAAUAUUAUGUGUUUCAGAAAUAUAUGCUAAUUAACCACUAUUGAUUAUCUACAUGAUACAAAUAAAAUAUUCAGCAUGCAA
Molecule: long non-coding RNA, 683 nt
Filed under: Mus spretus (western wild mouse)
Lineage: Eukaryota; Metazoa; Chordata; Mammalia; Rodentia; Muridae
Description: predicted gene, 43974 (ENSMSPG00010041281.1)
Source: RNAcentral